UUAGAGUUUGAUCCUGGCUCAGGACGAACGCUGGCGGCGUGCUUAACACAUGCAAGUCGAACGGUAAGGCUCCAGCUUGCUGGGGUACACGAGUGGCGAACGGGUGAGUAACACGUGGGUGACCUGCCCUGCACUUCGGGAUAAGCCUGGGAAACUGGGUCUAAUACCGGAUAGGACCGCACCGUGAGGGUGUGGUGGAAAGUUUUUUCGGUGUGGGAUGGGCCCGCGGCCUAUCAGCUUGUUGGUGGGGUAAUGGCCUACCAAGGCGGCGACGGGUAGCCGGCCUGAGAGGGUGGACGGCCACAUUGGGACUGAGACACGGCCCAGACUCCUACGGGAGGCAGCAGUGGGGAAUAUUGCACAAUGGGCGGAAGCCUGAUGCAGCGACGCCGCGUGGGGGAUGACGGCCUUCGGGUUGUAAACUCCUUUCACCAUCGACGAAGGGUUUCUGACGGUAGAUGGAGAAGAAGCACCGGCUAACUACGUGCCAGCAGCCGCGGUAAUACGUAGGGUGCGAGCGUUGUCCGGAAUUACUGGGCGUAAAGAGCUCGUAGGUGGUUUGUCGCGUCGUCUGUGAAAUUCCGGGGCUUAACUCCGGGCGUGCAGGCGAUACGGGCAUAACUUGAGUACUGUAGGGGAGACUGGAAUUCCUGGUGUAGCGGUGAAAUGCGCAGAUAUCAGGAGGAACACCGGUGGCGAAGGCGGGUCUCUGGGCAGUAACUGACGCUGAGGAGCGAAAGCAUGGGGAGCGAACAGGAUUAGAUACCCUGGUAGUCCAUGCCGUAAACGGUGGGCGCUAGGUGUGGGUUUCCUUCCACGGGAUCCGUGCCGUAGCUAACGCAUUAAGCGCCCCGCCUGGGGAGUACGGCCGCAAGGCUAAACUCAAAGGAAUUGACGGGGGCCCGCACAAGCGGCGGAGCAUGUGGAUUUGUGGAUUAAUUCGAUGCAACGCGAAGAACCUUACCUGGGCUUGACAUAUACAGGAUCGCGCCAGAGAUGGUGUUUCCCUUGUGGCUUGUAUACAGGUGGUGCAUGGUUGUCGUCAGCUCGUGUCGUGAGAUGUUGGGUUAAGUCCCGCAACGAGCGCAACCCUUGUCUUAUGUUGCCAGCACGUUGUGGUGGGGACUCGUAAGAAACUGCCGGGGUUAACUCGGAGGAAGGUGGGGAUGACGUCAAAUCAUCAUGCCCCUUAUGUCCAGGGCUUCACACAUGCUACAAUGGUCGGUACAGUGGGUUGCCAGUCCGUGAGGGCGAGCUAAUCCCGCAAAGCCGGUCUCAGUUCGGAUCGGGGUCUGCAACUCGACCCCGUGAAGUCGGAGUCGCUAGUAAUCGCAGAUCAGCAACGCUGCGGUGAAUACGUUCCCGGGCCUUGUACACACCGCCCGUCACGUCAUGAAAGUCGGUAACACCCGAAGCCAGUGGCCUAACACAUUUUGUGGGGGAGCUGUCGAAGGUGGGAUUGGCGAUUGGGACGAAGUCGUAACAAGGUA
RNAcentral lists this ribosomal RNA (1490 nucleotides) under Corynebacterium jeikeium. Its description in RNAcentral is "partial 16S ribosomal RNA". It matches the Rfam family "Bacterial small subunit ribosomal RNA". The record is from RNAcentral. Lineage: Bacteria; Bacillati; Actinomycetota; Actinomycetes; Mycobacteriales; Corynebacteriaceae.